CACAUGCUGUGAGCUCGAUGAGUAGGGCGGGACACGUGGUAUCCUGUCUGAAUAUGGGGGGACCAUCCUCCAAGGCUAAAUACUCCUGACUGACCGAUAGUGAACCAGUACCGUGAGGGAAAGGCGAAAAGAACCCCGGCGAGGGGAGUGAAAAAGAACCUGAAACCGUGUACGUACAAGCAGUGGGAGCACGCUUAGGCGUGUGACUGCGUACCUUUUGUAUAAUGGGUCAGCGACUUAUAUUCUGUAGCAAGGUUAACCGAAUAGGGGAGCCGAAGGGAAACCGAGUCUUAACUGGGCGUUAAGUUGCAGGGUAUAGACCCGAAACCCGGUGAUCUAGCCAUGGGCAGGUUGAAGGUUGGGUAACACUAACUGGAGGACCGAACCGACUAAUGUUGAAAAAUUAGCGGAUGACUUGUGGCUGGGGGUGAAAGGCCAAUCAAACCGGGAGAUAGCUGGUUCUCCCCGAAAGCUAUUUAGGUAGCGCCUCGUGAAUUCAUCUCCGGGGGUAGAGCACUGUUUCGGCAAGGGGGUCAUCCCGACUUACCAACCCGAUGCAAACUGCGAAUACCGGAGAAUGUUAUCACGGGAGACACACGGCGGGUGCUAACGUCCGUCGUGAAGAGGGAAACAACCCAGACCGCCAGCUAAGGUCCCAAAGUCAUGGUUAAGUGGGAAACGAUGUGGGAAGGCCCAGACAGCCAGGAUGUUGGCUUAGAAGCAGCCAUCAUUUAAAGAAAGCGUAAUAGCUCACUGGUCGAGUCGGCCUGCGCGGAAGAUGUAACGGGGCUAAACCAUGCACCGAAGCUGCGGCAGCGACGCUUAUGCGUUGUUGGGUAGGGGAGCGUUCUGUAAGCCUGUGAAGGUGUGCUGUGAGGCAUGCUGGAGGUAUCAGAAGUGCGAAUGCUGACAUAAGUAACGAUAAAGCGGGUGAAAAGCCCGCUCGCCGGAAGACCAAGGGUUCCUGUCCAACGUUAAUCGGGGCAGGGUGAGUCGACCCCUAAGGCGAGGCCGAAAGGCGUAGUCGAUGGGAAACAGGUUAAUAUUCCUGUACUUGGUGUUACUGCGAAGGGGGGACGGAGAAGGCUAUGUUGGCCGGGCGACGGUUGUCCCGGUUUAAGCGUGUAGGCUGGUUUUCCAGGCAAAUCCGGAAAAUCAAGGCUGAGGCGUGAUGACGAGGCACUACGGUGCUGAAGCAACAAAUGCCCUGCUUCCAGGAAAAGCCUCUAAGCAUCAGGUAACAUCAAAUCGUACCCCAAACCGACACAGGUGGUCAGGUAGAGAAUACCAAGGCGCUUGAGAGAACUCGGGUGAAGGAACUAGGCAAAAUGGUGCCGUAACUUCGGGAGAAGGCACGCUGAUAUGUAGGUGAAGUCCCUCGCGGAUGGAGCUGAAAUCAGUCGAAGAUACCAGCUGGCUGCAACUGUUUAUUAAAAACACAGCACUGUGCAAACACGAAAGUGGACGUAUACGGUGUGACGCCUGCCCGGUGCCGGAAGGUUAAUUGAUGGGGUCAGCGCAAGCGAAGCUCUUGAUCGAAGCCCCGGUAAACGGCGGCCGUAACUAUAACGGUCCUAAGGUAGCGAAAUUCCUUGUCGGGUAAGUUCCGACCUGCACGAAUGGCGUAAUGAUGGCCAGGCUGUCUCCACCCGAGACUCAGUGAAAUUGAACUCGCUGUGAAGAUGCAGUGUACCCGCGGCAAGACGGAAAGACCCCGUGAACCUUUACUAUAGCUUGACACUGAACAUUGAGCCUUGAUGUGUAGGAUAGGUGGGAGGCUUAGAAGUGUGGACGCCAGUCUGCAUGGAGCCGACCUUGAAAUACCACCCUUUAAUGUUUGAUGUUCUAACGUUGACCCGUAAUCCGGGUUGCGGACAGUGUCUGGUGGGUAGUUUGACUGGGGCGGUCUCCUCCUAAAGAGUAACGGAGGAGCACGAAGGUUGGCUAAUCCUGGUCGGACAUCAGGAGGUUAGUGCAAUGGCAUAAGCCAGCUUGACUGCGAGCGUGACGGCGCGAGCAGGUGCGAAAGCAGGUCAUAGUGAUCCGGUGGUUCUGAAUGGAAGGGCCAUCGCUCAACGGAUAAAAGGUACUCCGGGGAUAACAGGCUGAUACCGCCCAAGAGUUCAUAUCGACGGCGGUGUUUGGCACCUCGAUGUCGGCUCAUCACAUCCUGGGGCUGAAGUAGGUCCCAAGGGUAUGGCUGUUCGCCAUUUAAAGUGGUACGCGAGCUGGGUUUAGAACGUCGUGAGACAGUUCGGUCCCUAUCUGCCGUGGGCGCUGGAGAACUGAGGGGGGCUGCUCCUAGUACGAGAGGACCGGAGUGGACGCAUCACUGGUGUUCGGGUUGUCAUGCCAAUGGCACUGCCCGGUAGCUAAAUGCGGAAGAGAUAAGUGCUGAAAGCAUCUAAGCACGAAACUUGCCCCGAGAUGAGUUCUCCCUGACUCCUUGAGAGUCCUGAAGGAACGUUGAAGACGACGACGUUGAUAGGCCGGGUGUGUAAGCGCAGCGAUGCGUUGAGCUAACCGGUACUAAUGAACCGUGAGGCUUAACCUU
RNAcentral lists this ribosomal RNA (2554 nucleotides) under Escherichia coli. RNAcentral describes it as "partial 23S ribosomal RNA". It matches the Rfam family "Bacterial large subunit ribosomal RNA", at positions 391 to 2925 of the family's 2925-position model. The record is from RNAcentral. Lineage: Bacteria; Pseudomonadati; Pseudomonadota; Gammaproteobacteria; Enterobacterales; Enterobacteriaceae.